Molecule: ribosomal RNA, 465 nt
Filed under: uncultured bacterium
Lineage: Bacteria
Description: partial 16S ribosomal RNA
Rfam family: Bacterial small subunit ribosomal RNA
Source: RNAcentral
GACGAACGCUGGCGGCGUGCUUAACACAUGCAAGUCGAACGGAAAGGCCCUGCUUGCCGGGUACUCGAGUGGCGAACGGGUGAGUAACACGUGGGUGAUCUGCCCUGCACUUCGGGAUAAGCCUGGGAAACUGGGUCUAAUACCGGAUAGGAGCCAUUUUUAGUGUGAUGGUUGGAAAGUUUUUUCGGUGUAGGAUGAGCUGGCGGCCUAUCAGCUUGUUGGUGGGGUAAUGGCCUACCAAGGCGGCGACGGGUAGCCGGCCUGAGAGGGUGGACGGCCACAUUGGGACUGAGAUACGGCCCAGACGCCUACGGGAGGCAGCAGGGGGGAAUAUUGCACAAGGGGCGCAAGCCUGAUGCAGCGACGCCGCGUGGGGGAUGACGGCCUUCGGGUUGUAAACGCCUUUCGCUAGGGACGAAGCUUUUUGUGACGGUACCUAGAUAAGAAGCACCGGCUAACUACGUG